UGGGGAAUAUUGGACAAUGGGCGAAAGCCUGAUCCAGCCAUGCCGCGUGUGUGAAGAAGGCCUUUUGGUUGUAAAGCACUUUAAGCGAGGAGGAGGCUACUUAGAUUAAUACUCUAGGAUAGUGGACGUUACUCGCAGAAUAAGCACCGGCUAACUCUGUGCCAGCAGCCGCGGUAAUACAGAGGGUGCGAGCGUUAAUCGGAUUUACUGGGCGUAAAGCGUGCGUAGGCGGCUUCUUAAGUCGCAUGUGAAAUCCCUGAGCUUAACUUAGGAAUUGCAUUCGAUACUGGGAAGCUAGAGUAUGGGAGAGGAUGGUAGAAUUCCAGGUGUAGCGGUGAAAUGCGUAGAGAUCUGGAGGAAUACCGAUGGCGAAGGCAGCCAUCUGGCCUAAUACUGACGCUGAGGUACGAAAGCAUGGGGAGCAAACAGG
This 430-nucleotide ribosomal RNA is filed under the name bacterium. Its description in RNAcentral is "partial 16S ribosomal RNA". It matches the Rfam family "Bacterial small subunit ribosomal RNA", at positions 355 to 776 of the family's 1533-position model. The record is from RNAcentral.